This 274-nucleotide ribosomal RNA is filed under the name uncultured bacterium. RNAcentral's name for it is "partial 16S ribosomal RNA". It matches the Rfam family "Bacterial small subunit ribosomal RNA", at positions 523 to 796 of the family's 1533-position model. The record is from RNAcentral.
AUACGGAGGGGGCUAGCGUUGUUCGGAAUUACUGGGCGUAAAGGGCGCGUAGGCGGACAAUCAAGUCAGAGGUGAAAGGCCUGGGCUCAACCCGGGAACUGCCUUUGAAACUGAAGGUCUAGAGUCCGAGAGAGGAUAGCGGAAUUCCCAGUGUAGAGGUGAAAUUCGUAGAUAUUGGGAAGAACACCAGUGGCGAAGGCGGCUAUCUGGCUCGGAACUGACGCUGAGGCGCGAAAGCGUGGGGAGCAAACAGGAUUAGAAACCCGUGUAGUCC